RNAcentral lists this non-coding RNA (93 nucleotides) under Clytia hemisphaerica. Lineage: Eukaryota; Metazoa; Cnidaria; Hydrozoa; Leptothecata; Clytiidae. The record is from RNAcentral.
GUCACAAUGGUUAUCAUGUAGGAAUGCAAGAUACACCUGGUUCGAUAAUGAAGAACGCAUUGGUCCAGGGCGGAAACGCAGCAGGCAAAAGGC